This 921-nucleotide ribosomal RNA is filed under the name uncultured bacterium. RNAcentral's name for it is "bacterial SSU rRNA". It matches the Rfam family "Bacterial small subunit ribosomal RNA", at positions 8 to 964 of the family's 1533-position model. The record is from RNAcentral.
AGAGUUUGAUCAUGGCUCAGAAUCAACGCUGGCGGCGCGCUUAACACAUGCAAGUCGCACGAGAAAGUGGAGCAAUCCAUGAGUACAGUGGCGUACGGGUGAGUAACACGUGGGUGAUCUACCUCUUAGUGGGGAAUAACCCUGGGAAACCGGGGCUAAUACCGCAUAAUCCUGAGAAGGGAAAGCAGCAAUGCGCUGAGAGAGGAGCCCGCGGCCGAUUAGCUAGUUGGCAGGGUAAGAGCCUACCAAGGCAGAGAUCGGUAGCCGGCCUGAGAGGGCACACGGCCACACUGGCACUGAAACACGGGCCAGACUCCUACGGGAGGCAGCAGUGGGGAAUCUUGCACAAUGGGGGCAACCCUGAUGCAGCGACGCCGCGUGAGCGAUGAAGCCCUUCGGGGUGUAAAGCUCUUUCGGCAGGGAAGAUGAUGACGGUACCUGCAGAAGCAGCUGCGGCUAACUACGUGCCAGCAGCCGCGGUAAUACGUAGGCAGCGAGCGUUGUUCGGAGUUACUGGGCGUAAAGGGUGUGUAGGCGGUUCUUUAAGUUUGGUGUGAAAUCUCCCGGCUCAACCGGGAGGGUGCGCCGAAUACUGAGGGACUAGAGUGCGGGAGAGGAAAGUGGAAUUCCUGGUGUAGCGGUGAAAUGCGUAGAUAUCAGGAGGAACACCGGUGGUGUAGACGGCUUUCUGGACCGUAACUGACGCUGAGACACGAAAGCGUGGGUAGCAAACAGGAUUAGAUACCCUGGUAGUCCACGCCCUAAACGAUGCAUAUUUGGUGUGGGUCAUUCAGUUGAUCCGUGCCGGAGCUAACGCGUUAAAUAUGCCGCCUGGGGAGUACAGUCGCAAGGCUGAACUCAAAGGAAUUGACGGGGCCCGCACAAGCGGUGGAGCAUGUGGUUCAAUUCGACGCAACGCGA